Molecule: small nuclear RNA, 121 nt
Filed under: Zea mays
Lineage: Eukaryota; Viridiplantae; Streptophyta; Magnoliopsida; Poales; Poaceae
Description: U2 spliceosomal RNA
Rfam family: U2 spliceosomal RNA
About the family: U2 is a small nuclear RNA (snRNA) component of the spliceosome (involved in pre-mRNA splicing).
Source: Rfam by way of RNAcentral
AUAUCUUUCUUGGUCUUUUGGCUAAGAUAAAGUGUAAUAUUUGCCUUUAUCAAUUUAAUAUCUCAUAUGUGGGUCAUAUAUUCACUUUGGUAUUAAAUUUAUUUUUGUGGGUGUAACAUAU